This 665-nucleotide ribosomal RNA is filed under the name uncultured Sebacina. RNAcentral's name for it is "eukaryotic LSU rRNA". The stretch from base 249 to 402 matches the Rfam family "5.8S ribosomal RNA". The record is from RNAcentral. Lineage: Eukaryota; Fungi; Basidiomycota; Agaricomycetes; Sebacinales; Sebacinaceae.
UCUUGGUCAUUUAGAGGAAGUAAAAGUCGUAACAAGGUUUCCGUAGGUGAACCUGCGGAAGGAUCAUUAAUGAUUUCGAAUCGUCGCCUUUGGUGCUGGCUCUCGCGAGCAAGUGCACAUCGGUGGCUUUCAUCCACUUCUACCCUUGUGCACCUUUGGCCUCUUGCUUGCUUCGGCUUGCAGAGGAUUUUUUACACACACACUCGAAUGUAAUGAUAAACGUUUGUCGUGCGCAAGCACUAAUGUACAACUUUCAACAACGGAUCUCUUGGCUCUCGCAUCGAUGAAGAACGCAGCGAAAUGCGAUAAGUAAUGUGAAUUGCAGAAUUCAGUGAAUCAUCGAAUCUUUGAACGCACCUUGCACCCUUUGGAAUUCCGAAGGGUAUGCUCGUUUGAGUGUCAUUGUACUCUCACACUCUCCGAUCCCUUGGGUUCGGGGAGCGGUGGACUUGGGUGUUUGCUGCUUUUCCUGGUGGCUCACCUCAAAUGCAUCAGUGCACCUCUUGGUUGGACAUAGUACGGCGUGAUAAGUAUCUUCGCCGGCACCUCGCAAGAGGGUGGCCGAUCGAGAGCUCUGUGCUCUCUAACCGUCUUCGGACAAAUUGUCUGACAACUUGACCUCAAAUCGAGUAGGACUACCCGCUGAACUUAAGCAUAUCAAUAAG